UUAAGCGACUAAGCGUACACGGUGGAUGCCCUGGCAGUCAGAGGCGAUGAAGGACGUGCUAAUCUGCGAUAAGCGUCGGUAAGGUGAUAUGAACCGUUAUAACCGGCGAUUUCCGAAUGGGGAAACCCAGUGUGUUUCGACACACUAUCAUUAACUGAAUCCAUAGGUUAAUGAGGCGAACCGGGGGAACUGAAACAUCUAAGUACCCCGAGGAAAAGAAAUCAACCGAGAUUCCCCCAGUAGCGGCGAGCGAACGGGGAGCAGCCCAGAGCCUGAAUCAGUGUGUGUGUUAGUGGAAGCGUCUGGAAAGGCGCGCGAUACAGGGUGACAGCCCCGUACACAAAAAUGCACAUAUUGUGAGCUCGAUGAGUAGGGCGGGACACGUGGUAUCCUGUCUGAAUAUGGGGGGACCAUCCUCCAAGGCUAAAUACUCCUGACUGACCGAUAGUGAACCAGUACCGUGAGGGAAAGGCGAAAAAGAACCCCGGCGAGGGGAGUGAAAAAGAACCUGAAACCGUGUACGUACAAGCAGUGGGAGCACGCUUAGGCGUGUGACUGCGUACCUUUUGUAUAAUGGGUCAGCGACUUAUAUUCUGUAGCAAGGUUAACCGAAUAGGGGAGCCGAAGGGAAACCGAGUCUUAACUGGGCGUUAAGUUGCAGGGUAUAGACCCCGAAACCCGGUGAUCUAGCCAUGGGCAGGUUGAAGGUUGGGUAACACUAACUGGAGGACCGAACCGACUAAUGUUGAAAAAUUAGCGGAUGACUUGUGGCUGGGGGUGAAAGGCCAAUCAAACCGGGAGAUAGCUGGUUCUCCCCGAAAGCUAUUUAGGUAGCGCCUCGUGAAUUCAUCUCCGGGGGUAGAGCACUGUUUCGGCAAGGGGGUCAUCCCGACUUACCAACCCGAUGCAAACUGCGAAUACCGGAGAAUGUUAUCACGGGAGACACACGGCGGGUGCUAACGUCCGUCGUGAAGAGGGAAACAACCCAGACCGCCAGCUAAGGUCCCAAAGUCAUGGUUAAGUGGGAAACGAUGUGGGAAGGCCCAGACAGCCAGGAUGUUGGCUUAGAAGCAGCCAUCAUUUAAAGAAAGCGUAAUAGCUCACUGGUCGAGUCGGCCUGCGCGGAAGAUGUAACGGGGCUAAACCAUGCACCGAAGCUGCGGCAGCGACGCUUAUGCGUUGUUGGGUAGGGGAGCGUUCUGUAAGCCUGUGAAGGUGUGCUGUGAGGCAUGCUGGAGGUAUCAGAAGUGCGAAUGCUGACAUAAGUAACGAUAAAGCGGGUGAAAAGCCCGCUCGCCGGAAGACCAAGGGUUCCUGUCCAACGUUAAUCGGGGCAGGGUGAGUCGACCCCUAAGGCGAGGCCGAAAGGCGUAGUCGAUGGGAAACAGGUUAAUAUUCCUGUACUUGGUGUUACUGCGAAGGGGGGACGGAGAAGGCUAUGUUGGCCGGGCGACGGUUGUCCCGGUUUAAGCGUGUAGGCUGGUUUUCCAGGCAAAUCCGGAAAAUCAAGGCUGAGGCGUGAUGACGAGGCACUACGGUGCUGAAGCAACAAAUGCCCUGCUUCCAGGAAAAGCCUCUAAGCAUCAGGUAACAUCAAAUCGUACCCCAAACCGACACAGGUGGUCAGGUAGAGAAUACCAAGGCGCUUGAGAGAACUCGGGUGAAGGAACUAGGCAAAAUGGUGCCGUAACUUCGGGAGAAGGCACGCUGAUAUGUAGGUGAAGUCCCUCGCGGAUGGAGCUGAAAUCAGUCGAAGAUACCAGCUGGCUGCAACUGUUUAUUAAAAACACAGCACUGUGCAAACACGAAAGUGGACGUAUACGGUGUGACGCCUGCCCGGUGCCGGAAGGUUAAUUGAUGGGGUCAGCGCAAGCGAAGCUCUUGAUCGAAGCCCCGGUAAACGGCGGCCGUAACUAUAACGGUCCUAAGGUAGCGAAAUUCCUUGUCGGGUAAGUUCCGACCUGCACGAAUGGCGUAAUGAUGGCCAGGCUGUCUCCACCCGAGACUCAGUGAAAUUGAACUCGCUGUGAAGAUGCAGUGUACCCGCGGCAAGACGGAAAGACCCCGUGAACCUUUACUAUAGCUUGACACUGAACAUUGAGCCUUGAUGUGUAGGAUAGGUGGGAGGCUUAGAAGUGUGGACGCCAGUCUGCAUGGAGCCGACCUUGAAAUACCACCCUUUAAUGUUUGAUGUUCUAACGUUGACCCGUAAUCCGGGUUGCGGACAGUGUCUGGUGGGUAGUUUGACUGGGGCGGUCUCCUCCUAAAGAGUAACGGAGGAGCACGAAGGUUGGCUAAUCCUGGUCGGACAUCAGGAGGUUAGUGCAAUGGCAUAAGCCAGCUUGACUGCGAGCGUGACGGCGCGAGCAGGUGCGAAAGCAGGUCAUAGUGAUCCGGUGGUUCUGAAUGGAAGGGCCAUCGCUCAACGGAUAAAAGGUACUCCGGGGAUAACAGGCUGAUACCGCCCAAGAGUUCAUAUCGACGGCGGUGUUUGGCACCUCGAUGUCGGCUCAUCACAUCCUGGGGCUGAAGUAGGUCCCAAGGGUAUGGCUGUUCGCCAUUUAAAGUGGUACGCGAGCUGGGUUUAGAACGUCGUGAGACAGUUCGGUCCCUAUCUGCCGUGGGCGCUGGAGAACUGAGGGGGGCUGCUCCUAGUACGAGAGGACCGGAGUGGACGCAUCACUGGUGUUCGGGUUGUCAUGCCAAUGGCACUGCCCGGUAGCUAAAUGCGGAAGAGAUAAGUGCUGAAAGCAUCUAAGCACGAAACUUGCCCCGAGAUGAGUUCUCCCUGACUCCUUGAGAGUCCUGAAGGAACGUUGAAGACGACGACGUUGAUAGGCCGGGUGUGUAAGCGCAGCGAUGCGUUGAGCUAACCGGUACUAAUGAACCGUGAGGCUUAACCUU
This 2904-nucleotide ribosomal RNA is filed under the name Escherichia coli. Its description in RNAcentral is "bacterial LSU rRNA". It matches the Rfam family "Bacterial large subunit ribosomal RNA". The record is from RNAcentral. Lineage: Bacteria; Pseudomonadati; Pseudomonadota; Gammaproteobacteria; Enterobacterales; Enterobacteriaceae.